GCCAGUAUGGCGGAAUUGGCAGACGCACUGGACUCAAAAUCCAGAGAGCUUAGCUCGUGCCGGUUCGACCCCGGCUACUGGUA
Molecule: transfer RNA, 83 nt
Filed under: Streptococcus danieliae
Lineage: Bacteria; Bacillati; Bacillota; Bacilli; Lactobacillales; Streptococcaceae
Description: tRNA-Leu
Rfam family: tRNA
About the family: Transfer RNA (tRNA) molecules are approximately 80 nucleotides in length. Their secondary structure includes four short double-helical elements and three loops (D, anti-codon, and T loops).
Source: RNAcentral